Molecule: ribosomal RNA, 707 nt
Filed under: uncultured bacterium
Lineage: Bacteria
Description: bacterial SSU rRNA
Rfam family: Bacterial small subunit ribosomal RNA
Source: RNAcentral
CAGGCUUAACACAUGCAAGUCGAACGGUGUAGCAAUACAGCAGUGGCAGACGGGUGAGUAACACGUGGGAACCUCCUAGAGGUACGGAACAACGCAGGGAAACUUGCGCUAAUACUGUAUACGCUCGUGAGAGGAAAGAUUUAUCGCCUUUAGACGGGCCCGCGUCGGAUUAGGUAGUUGGUGGGGUAACGGCCUACCAAGCCGACGAUCCGUAGCUGAUCUGAGAGGAUGAUCAGCCACACUGGGACUGAGACACGGCCCAGACUCCUACGGGAGGCAGCAGUGGGGAAUCUUGGACAAUGGGCGCAAGCCUGAUCCAGCCAUGCCGCGUGAGUGAAGAAGGCCUUAGGGUUGUAAAGCUCUUUUGCCAGGGACGAUAAUGACGGUACCUGGAGAAUAAGCCCCGGCAAACUUCGUGCCAGCAGCCGCGGUAAUACGAAGGGGGCUAGCGUUGUUCGGAAUUACUGGGCGUAAAGCGCACGUAGGCGGAUUGUUAAGUCAGGGGUGAAAUCCCGAGGCUCAACCUCGGAACUGCCUUUGAUACUGGCAAUCUAGAGACUGGAAGAGGUUAGUGGAAUUCCCAGUGUAGAGGUGAAAUUCGUAGAUAUUGGGAAGAACACCAGUGGCGAAGGCGGCUAACUGGUCCAGUACUGACGCUGAGGUGCGAAAGCGUGGGGAUCAAACAGGAUUAGAUACCCUGGUAGUCC